Molecule: long non-coding RNA, 569 nt
Filed under: Prunus persica (peach)
Lineage: Eukaryota; Viridiplantae; Streptophyta; Magnoliopsida; Rosales; Rosaceae
Description: long non-coding RNA (PPER_LNC006670)
Source: RNAcentral
GCCUCUUCGCAUGACAUUGUAACCUAAGCCAAAAUUUAGGAAAUACUAGAUUCAACCCUCUCCUCUAUCAUGCUGCCUAGUUAUCAACAACUUCAAUGAGUGUCGUCUCAUAGUCUGCAGGAGCUUCAAAUCCAUGCAGAUUCAUCACGGUUGCAGCGACAUUGGCCAGCCCACCAUUGGGAACAUCCUUGCGGAACUGGACGCCAGGUGCCAGUCCAGGACCACCAAUUGCAAUUGGAACCUUAAUAAAGAAAAACCAAGACAAUCAAUCAAUGAGAACCCGUGGUAGUAACAGUGUUCAAUUCGAUGAUUCUGAAUGAUCAAAUACACCAAAGGACUACUGUUUCCUGGCAUAAAAGGGAUGACUACGAAAGGCCGUGAUACAUGCCAAACUACCAUUUCAUAUGCAUUUGUUACAAAUAUGCAAAAGGUAUUCAGAGAACUUACUGGCUGAAGAGUGUGGGAGGUAAGAAUUUGAAUGUUGCCAUUCUUGUCAAGAAGAGGUUGCCCUUUCUUGUUUCUCUUCACCAUAUCCUCAGCAUUACCGUGAUCUGCAGUAACGACAUAAA